This 482-nucleotide ribosomal RNA is filed under the name uncultured bacterium. Its description in RNAcentral is "partial 16S ribosomal RNA". It matches the Rfam family "Bacterial small subunit ribosomal RNA", at positions 28 to 507 of the family's 1533-position model. The record is from RNAcentral.
GACGAACGCUGGCGGCGUGCUUAACACAUGCAAGUCGAACGAUGAAGAAGAGAAACGCGAACUUCGGUUCAAAUUUCACAUCGGAUUAGUGGCAGACGGGUGAGUAACGCGUGAGCAACCUACCUCUUACAAAGGGAUAGCCUCGGGAAACCGUGAUUAAUACCAUAUGACUCAUUCAUAAGGCAUCUUAAGAAUGUUAAAGCUACGGCGGUAAGAGAUGGGCUCGCGUACCACUAGCUAGUUGGUGAGGUAACGGCCCACCAAGGCGACGAUGGGUAACCGGCCUGAGAGGGUGAACCGUCACAUUGGAACUGAGACACGGUCCAAAUUCCUGCGGGUGGCGGCAGUGGCGAAUAUUGCACAGUGGAGGGAACUCUGAUGGAGCGCGGCCGCGUGAGCGAUGAAGGAAUUGGUUUCGUAAAGCUCUGUUCUAUGGGACGAAAAGGACUGUACCAUAGGAGAAAGCCCCGGCUAACUACGUG